This 2041-nucleotide long non-coding RNA is filed under the name Mus musculus (house mouse). RNAcentral describes it as "long non-coding RNA chr12:28688010-28690051". The record is from RNAcentral. Lineage: Eukaryota; Metazoa; Chordata; Mammalia; Rodentia; Muridae.
GGUAAGAAAACAGGUAGUCCUGGGUGGUGUAAGAAAACAGGCUGAGCAAGUCAGUACACCAGUGUUCCUUUGUGGGUUCUGCUUCAGUUUACUGUCCCAAGGUUUCUGCCCUGAUUUCCCUCCAUGAUAGAUUGCAACCCUGGAGAUGAAAUAAAAAUCUUACCUUCCCAAAAGAUUCUGAUGUUUAUCACAGCAAUAGAAACAUAAGUCACGCAGGCUUCCCUUUUCAUGUGUGCUGUUUUUAUGCUAGAUGAGUGUCCACAGGCCAGUAUGAACUUUGACCUGUCUGCAUAUCCUGUAGCUUAGGUACCAAACAACAUGAAGCAAGGAUGCUGUGUGGCACAUGGAAGUGUUGGUAUUGGCUCUGCUAAACCCAGGCCUGGGUGAGCUCCAGACUGGAUGUUCCCUCCCAGUGGGCUUCCUAGUGGUGGGUUCCAUAUGAAGGGCUGAGCUUACUGUGUGGCCUGUUACUCUUCACCAGUGUGAUUGGACAGGGUUUCGCAGAGGUGGUGGUGUUCAAAUGGGUCCAAGACCUGCAGGCAUUAACUCUCUAGGAGGAGAAAAACAAGAAAAGGGGAUUGCUCCUGAGGGAGUGUGGCAGUUUAUUAUGACGGAUUAGAAGAAUAAUGGCUGUUCAAAAAUUAGCAUAGUGAACCUUGAAAAAUAGCCUAUCACUUCUGGUGCCAGAGUGAUGAUAGCUUGGGUUGUUGCCAGGAUAACUGGGCUUCCCUGUGUGAGGGAGUCUGCAUUUAUUUUAGCUGCCCUGAUCUUUUUUUUUUUUUUUUUUUUUUCCCAAGACAGGGUUUCUCUGUGUAGCCCUGGCUCUCCUGGAACUCACUUUGUAGACCAGGCUGGCCUCAAACUCAGAAAUCUGCCUGCCUCUGCCUCCCAAGUGCUGGGAUUAAAGGCAUGUGCCACCACACCCAGCUAGCUGCCCUGAUCCUAAGAGUGACAUGUAUACCAGCAUCUGCCCUGAUUUUUUUUGGGGGGGGGGGGUCUAGUUUGUGAUGUCUUCUGUGGGUAGCUCUAACACAGAGGCUCAAAGCUAAUCCAUAGAACGGCCAUGCUUUCAGGACCGCAAGAGCAGCCUCUUUUCCUCUCUGGCCCUUGCCUCUCACUGGGCGGAUGAAUCGCCUCAGAUCGGAAUGCUCAGUGACCAGGAAGAGGCACUAUUUGAGGAUUAGGAGGUGUGGCCAUGGAGUAAAUGUGUCACUGGGGGGUGGGGAGCUUUGAGGUUUCAAAAGCUCAAGCCAGGCCCAGUGGCUUGAUCUCCUCAGCUCCGUCUCUAGCACCAUGUCUGCCUGUAUGCUAUCAUGUUUCCCUCAAUGAUGAUAAUGACUAUACCUCUGAAACCAAUUAAUGUUUAUAAGUGUUGCUGUGGUCAUGGUGCCUCUUCACAGCAACAGAAUACUAAGACCAUGGGAAUGUGGGCUCAUGGGAAUGUGGGCUCAUGGGAAUGUGGGUGAUCACUGGGUUGACCUUACCUGCAGAUGUGAGACCAUACCUUAGGAUACUGUUUCUGCUGCCUGGACAUCCAGUGGCUCCUGGCAUGCCGUCUGUUGAUGUGGUGCCCGAGGGGAGCAGGGUGAAUCUGCUGGAAUGGCCAGAGCCGAGGACCCUUGUGGCUUAGCUCUCACAUCCCUGGCCCAAAACAGGCAAGGUGUUCUGCCUCAGCCCCUUAGGCCUUGUUUCUGUUCUGCAAGACUGUGAACAACUGUCUUCUGCCCUUGGUGGCAGUGACAGUGCACUUGGCCCCGCCUCUCCCACAUGCCACAUUCCUAGUCCUAGCCUUAAGAACAUGCAGUACACAGACCAGAAGAGGUGGCUCAGGGGUAAGACUGCUUGCUGAUCUUGAAGAGGACCAGAGUUUGGUUCCCAGAAUCUGGAUCAUGCUGCUCCCAGCCACCCAGAGCUCCAGUGCUUUCUUCUGGCUUCUGAGUGGAUUCUAAGUGUGCUCCCCUGGAGGGAACUCAGUUUGGAACUGAAAAGCAGGGUGGGCGGGCAGCCUGUGGCUGGGGUGGACGCUGCUCUAGGGUCCACC